AACGAACGCUGGCGGCGCGUCUUAAGCAUGCAAGUCGGACGGCAAGGGGAGCUUGCUCCCCCUAGAGUGGCGGACUGGUGAGUAACGCGUGGGUGACCUACCCUUGAGAUGGGGAUAGCCAUUAGAAAUAGUGGAUAAUACCGAAUACGCUCUUUUUGCUGUGGCGAGAAGAGGAAACAGGCUACGGCCUGGCUCGAGGAUGGGCCCGCGUCCCAUUAGCUAGUUGGUGAGGUAACGGCCCACCAAGGCGACGAUGGGUAUCCGGCCUGAGAGGGUGUACGGACACAUUGGGACUGAGAUACGGCCCAAACUCCUACGGGAGGCAGCAGCUAAGAAUAUUCCGCAAUGGACGAAAGUCUGACGGAGCGACGCCGCGUGGAUGAAGAAGGCCGAAAGGUUGUAAAAUCCUUUUGCUGAUGAAGAAUAAGUGGUGUAGGGAAUGACAUCAUGAUGACAUUAGUCGGUGAAUAAGCCCCGGCUAACUACGUGCCAGCAGCCGC
RNAcentral lists this ribosomal RNA (500 nucleotides) under uncultured bacterium. RNAcentral describes it as "bacterial SSU rRNA". It matches the Rfam family "Bacterial small subunit ribosomal RNA", at positions 29 to 518 of the family's 1533-position model. The record is from RNAcentral.